Molecule: non-coding RNA, 45 nt
Organism: Schistosoma mattheei
Lineage: Eukaryota; Metazoa; Platyhelminthes; Trematoda; Strigeidida; Schistosomatidae
Source: Rfam
ACCGGGCUGGCGAGUCCCAAAUAGGACGAAAUGCGCGUUCUGGAU